Molecule: ribosomal RNA, 550 nt
Filed under: uncultured bacterium
Lineage: Bacteria
Description: bacterial SSU rRNA
Rfam family: Bacterial small subunit ribosomal RNA
Source: RNAcentral
UGGGGAAUAUUGGACAAUGGGCGCAAGCCUGAUCCAGCAAUGCCGCGUGUGUGAAGAAGGCCUUCGGGUUGUAAAGCACUUUUAUCAGGAACGAAAACCUGCCGGUCAAUACCCGGCGGGCCUGACGGUACCUGAGGAAUAAGCACCGGCUAACUUCGUGCCAGCAGCCGCGGUAAUACGAAGGGUGCAAGCGUUAAUCGGAAUUACUGGGCGUAAAGGGUGCGUAGGCGGUUCGUUAAGUCUGUUGUGAAAUCCCCGGGCUCAACCUGGGAAUGGCAAUGGAUACUGGCGAGCUAGAGUGUGUCAGAGGAUGGUGGAAUUCCCGGUGUAGCGGUGAAAUGCGUAGAGAUCGGGAGGAACAUCAGUGGCGAAGGCGGCCAUCUGGGACAACACUGACGCUGAAGCACGAAAGCGUGGGGAGCAAACAGGAUUAGAUACCCUGGUAGGCCACGCCCUAAACGAUGCGAACUGGAUGUUGGGCUCAACUAGGAGCUCAGUGUCGAAGCUAACGCGUUAAGUUCGCCGCCUGGGGAGUACGGUCGCAAGACUG